GAUGAACGCUGGCGGCGUGCCUAAUACAUGCAAGUCGAGCGAACGGACGAGAAGCUUGCUUCUCUGAUGUUAGCGGCGGACGGGUGAGUAACACGUGAAUAACCUACCUAUAAGACUGGGAUAACUUCGGGAAACCGGAGCUAAUACCGGAUAAUAUUUUGAACCGCAUGGUUCAAAAGUGAAAGACGGUCUUGCUGUCACUUAUAGAUGGAUCCGCGCUGCAUUAGCUAGUUGGUAAGGUAACGGCUUACCAAGGCAACGAUGCAUAGCCGACCUGAGAGGGUGUUCGGCCACACUGGAACUGAGCCACGGUCCAGACUCCUACGGGAGGCAGCAGUAGGGAAUCUUCCGCAAUGGGCGAAAGCCUGACGGAGCAACGCCGCGUGAGUGAUGAAGGUCUUCGGAUCGUAAAACUCUGUUAUUAGGGAAGAACAUAUGUGUAAGUAGCUGUGCACAUCUUGACGGUACCUAAUCAGAAAGCCACGGCUAACUACGUG
RNAcentral lists this ribosomal RNA (497 nucleotides) under uncultured bacterium. RNAcentral describes it as "partial 16S ribosomal RNA". It matches the Rfam family "Bacterial small subunit ribosomal RNA", at positions 28 to 507 of the family's 1533-position model. The record is from RNAcentral.